RNAcentral lists this ribosomal RNA (264 nucleotides) under uncultured bacterium. RNAcentral describes it as "partial 16S ribosomal RNA". It matches the Rfam family "Bacterial small subunit ribosomal RNA", at positions 793 to 1055 of the family's 1533-position model. The record is from RNAcentral.
GUCCACGCCGUAAACGAUGGGCGCUAGGUGUGGGGGGUGUCGACUCCCUCCGUGCCGAAGCUAACGCAUUAAGCGCCCCGCCUGGGGAGUACGGCCGCAAGGCUAAAACUCAAAGGAAUUGACGGGGGCCCGGCACAAGCAGCGGAGCAUGUGGUUUAAUUGGAUGCGACGCCAAGAACCUUACCAAGGCUUGACAUGGUCGGGAAAGCUGGAGAAAUUCAGCCCUCCUUCGGGAUCCGAUCACAGGUGGUGCAUGGCUGUCGU